CCCUUAGAUGUUCUGGGCCGCACGCGCGCUACACUGACGAAGUCAGCGAGCAUGUCCUACGCCGACAGGUGCGGGGAAUCUUGUCAAACUUCGUCGUGAUGGGGAUUGAUUAUUGAAAUUCUUGAUCAUCAACGAGGAAUUCCUAGUAAGCGCAAGUCAGCAGCUUGCGUUGAUUACGUCCCUGCCCUUUGUACACACCGCCCGUCGCUACUACCGAUUGAAUGGUUUAGUGAGAUCUUCGGAUUGGCGCCACUGCGGCUCAGCAAUGGGCUCGGUGGAUGCCGAAAAGUUGAUCAAUCUUGAUCAUUUAGAGGAAGUAAAAGUCGUAACA
Molecule: ribosomal RNA, 331 nt
Filed under: uncultured eukaryote
Lineage: Eukaryota
Description: partial 18S ribosomal RNA
Rfam family: Eukaryotic small subunit ribosomal RNA
Source: RNAcentral